GGACAGCCCAGUCACCGCCGGGGCCUGGGACCCAAGAUGGCGAGGCUGUGCCGCGAAGGACCUGGCGCCAGCGCGGGAGCAGCUUCCAGAGGCCACGAUCAGGGCCACCCACGCUCUCCAGCUCUCUUGUGUCCCGGAGCCGGGGCCCGCCACCCGUCGCGGCCUCGCGGCCGUAGGCCUUUCUGAACAGGCACGCCGCGGGCAGCCCUUCCCGGGGUCCCUUGCGGCGGCGUCCCGGGGGCCUCCGGGGGCCUCGGAGCAAGAUGGCGGCGGCGGGGUCCGUGAGGCGCGGGCGGCGACGACCGCGGCGCCAGUGAGGGGCCCCGGGCGGCUCCGGGCCGGGGCCCCGCCGCGGGACGGAUCAUGCUACGCUCCACUGGCUUCUUCCGGGCUAUCGACUGCCCCUAUUGGGCGGGGGCGCCCGGGGGGCCCUGCCGGCGGCCCUACUGCCACUUCCGGCACCGCGGGGCCCGGGGGCCUGGCGCGCCCGGCGGCGGCGGAGCGGCGUCCGCCGCAGCAGG
This 521-nucleotide long non-coding RNA is filed under the name Marmota monax (woodchuck). The record is from RNAcentral. Lineage: Eukaryota; Metazoa; Chordata; Mammalia; Rodentia; Sciuridae.